GCAUACAUGACCCGCAUAUCGACCAAGCACAGGAAAUUAGGAACUACAUUGAGCAUGUUGUGACCGUUAUUGGCGAGUCAUCACCGCUACACACUAAGUUAGCAGGCCAAAAUCCAGCACAACCAACCAAAAGUGUUGAUGUCUGUCCUCAACAAGGCGACGACUCAGUGGACUGCGGACCUGCAGUAUGUUACAUCAUGCGGGCGCACGUAUAUCAUGAAGAAAUUGUGGGCAGCCUCAGUAGUGCAGAAUGGUGUGGACUACGAGAUUUGUUAGUGCAUAGUUUUUUGAAUCAUAAGAAAUCAGAGCUUCCUUAAAACCUAUAGGUGGGGGGUGUCCACCUACGAACUAACCAACAGUCGAUUUGAAUGUUAAUAUGGAAAGCAUUGAUAUUUUGACACAGCAACUGAUUGUAAAACAGUGAUACAACAUCUGUUAAUAGGAAAAA
Camellia sinensis is the source of this 448-nucleotide non-coding RNA. Lineage: Eukaryota; Viridiplantae; Streptophyta; Magnoliopsida; Ericales; Theaceae. The record is from RefSeq and is a predicted model, not a curated record.